AGUGGCAAGAUGGCGGACUGCGGUGGCUUAGGUGGAGCGGAGACUGCUGCGGCUUCUCCUCCUGCACCCGCUCCCGAACUGAGCCCGCCGCUGGGCUGGAGGGAGCGGCUCCGGGCCGGGCUGGCGGGGACUGGGGCUUCGUUGUGGUUCGUGGCGGGGCUGGGGCUGCUUUACGCUCUGAGGGUCCCGCUGAGGCUGUGUGAGAACUUGGCAGCGGUGACAGUAUUUUUAAAUUCAUUGACUCCGAAAUUCUAUGUGGCACUUACAGGGACAUCUUCUUUGAUAUCAGGACUAAUAUUUAUUUUUGAAUGGUGGUACUUCCAUAAGCACGGCACAUCUUUUAUUGAGCAAGUAUCUGUAAACCAUUUGCGACCACUGAUGGGAGGAACAGAGAGCAGCAUUUCAGAGCUAGGUUCUCCUUCCAGGAACAGAGAAAGUGAAACCAGCAGACAGAAUUUGUCAGAAUGCAAGGUAUGGAGAAACCCUCUAAACCUUUUCAGAGGAGCAGAAUACAGGAGAUACACUUGGGUGACUGGUAAAGAGCCACUUACAUACUAUGAUAUGAACUUGUCAGCUCAGGACCAUCAAACCUUUUUCACCUGUGACACAGACUUUUUACGUCCUUCAGACACAGUUAUGCAGAAGGCAUGGAGGGAAAGAAAUCCUCCAGCUCGAAUCAAAGCAGCCUAUCAAGCUUUAGAGUUAAACAAUGACUGUGCCACUGCAUAUGUUCUGUUGGCUGAGGAAGAAGCAACAACUAUUAUAGAUGCUGAAAGGUUAUUUAAACAGGCACUCAAGGCAGGAGAAACAAUUUAUAGGCGGUCACAGCAGUGCCAGCACCAAAGUCCUCAGCAUGAAGCUCAACUGAGGAGAGAUACCAAUGUUCUGGUAUAUAUUAAAAGAAGAUUGGCAAUGUGUGCAAGAAAAUUAGGAAGAAUAAGAGAAGCAGUGAAAAUAAUGAGAGAUUUGAUGAAAGAAUUUCCUCCUCUUACCAUGUUGAACAUCCAUGAAAAUCUCUUAGAAUCACUUUUAGAAUUACAGGCCUAUGCAGAUGUUCAGGCAGUCCUAGCAAAAUAUGAUGAUAUAAGCCUUCCAAAGUCAGCAGCAAUUUGUUAUACAGCAGCACUGUUGAAGACAAGGACUGUUUCAGAUAAAUUCUCUCCAGAAACAGCCUCCAGAAGAGGGUUAAGCACAGCAGAAAUUAAUGCUGUGGAAGCAAUCCAUAGAGCUGUGGAAUUUAAUCCUCAUGUUCCAAAAUAUUUACUAGAGAUGAAAAGUUUAAUUUUACCUCCAGAACACAUUCUGAAACGGGGUGAUAGUGAAGCAAUUGCCUAUGCUUUCUUUCAUCUUCAGCACUGGAAGCGAAUAGAAGGUGCUCUUAAUCUGUUACAGUGUACAUGGGAAGGAACUUUUAGAAUGAUUCCAUAUCCAUUAGAGAAAGGACAUCUAUUUUACCCUUAUCCCAGCUGCACAGAGACUGCUGAUAGAGAGCUAUUACCUACCUUUCAUCAUGUUUCUGUUUACCCAAAGAAGGAGCUUCCUUUUUUCAUUCAUUUCACAGCAGGACUGUGUUCUUCUACAGCAAUGAUAGCCCUUCUCACACACCAGUUUCCUGAAAUCAUGGGUGUUUUUGCUAAAGCUUUUUGAACUGCUUCCCCAUUUCCUGAUCUAGGAAGUACCUGAGGACUGACAUUAGAGAAGGAGCACCAUAGUCACCCAGGAGCUUGUUGAAAACGUAGAACCUCAGGCAUCACUCCAGACCUCCUGAAUCAGAAUCUGCAUUUUAACAAGAUCCCCAGGUGAUCCUAUAUGCACAUUUAAAGCUUGAGAAGCUCUGCUGUUUCCCCAAUAUGAGGAAUUUAGAACACCUGAAUAGUACCACCUUAUUAAGGUGGAGAAGAGACAGCAUUGCAGUGCUAUGAGCAUAGACUCUGGAGGCAGACUGCUUAGCUUUGAAUCCAAGCCCGGACAGUUAUUGGCUCUGCAAUCUCAGCUGAGAUGAAAACCUAGUCUGACAUUAGACAUAGAACAAUGAAAAAAAGUUGCAUAAAUCCCUGGAGAUGUGGAAUGUGCUGAUAUCAGAGCUGAUAUUCUCCAAGGCCAGAAUUCCUGAAAAAGGAAAAAUUGCUUUUAAGUGAGCCAGCAGGUCCUCCAGAUGGAGAGAAUAAUGGGAUGCAGAAGAAAAUUAUAAUCUUGAGGAAUAGUUUUUAGCUUUUUUCUUGAGUGGAGUUUUGCUCCUGUCCCCUACCAAUCAAAUUUCUAAAUCUCAAAAGAACUAAAUUAGUAAGACUGCUUAAUAAAUUACAAUUCUAAACCAAGAGUAACUGGGACUUCAGUUAGUUCUUUUUUUAAGAGUUGAUACUUAUAUUCCCAUUUAUUCUUAACUGGAGCCACUGGAGGACAGAUUGUAAUCUUCCAGCGUUUAUAGAUGGGAAGUUUGAAUCAUCAAAGUUAAGUAUUAUGCCUAAAAUUACAUAGUAAAUAAGGUAGCCUAUUACUUUUAGUCAUAAUAUAUAUUUUGGUUUCAAUAAUAUAUCACUUCAAACUUAUACCAAAACAAGUACAAACAAAUAAAUUUCAAACCAGAUACAGUAGUGCUAAGGGGACAUAGAAUGAUGGAGUGGUGAUAGUCAAGUGGCUUUGCUAGAGAAGUCUUCCUUCCUAUAAGAGUGGAAUUUGGAGAAGAGUUCUAAAUGAAGAGGCUGAUGUAAAUUGUCAGAAAAAUAGAAAGGGCACUUAGCUUGGAGAAAUGCUUACUGCAAAGGCAAAGACACCAGGAGACAAAUAAGCUGCAUGCUCUUCACACUAUAAGCCUAUUUGAUGACUCUGAUGCUUUAAAAUAAAGAAUAUACCUUUGCUUUUCUGUCUUUCAAACUGGUUCACUCCAGUUUUAUUCUCUUCUUGCUAGUUAGCCACUUAAAGAACUGCUGUUUGUCCAUUUACAUCACAUACAUAACUGAAGUCUUUAAUAGACUUCAGCCUCUCUAACUGCCUAAAAGGUACAGUAAUACUAAAGAAACAGUAGGCCCUGGUUUAUAAGGAUACAGAGGGAAUUUAAUUGACUCUAAAAUUGUGUUAAAAAAAAGUUUUAAUAUAAAGCAUAAAUGUAUGUUUGCAGAGGAUUAAAGAGGAAAGUUUAACUGAAAAGAAUAAAUGUUUCAUCUAAAAUACCAUAA
Galeopterus variegatus (Sunda flying lemur) is the source of this 3176-nucleotide RNA transcript. It is a transcript of the gene named suppression of tumorigenicity 7 like, with no coding region annotated. The transcript has 18 exons. The record is from RefSeq and is a predicted model, not a curated record. NCBI's taxonomy places the organism in Eukaryota, Metazoa, Chordata, Mammalia, Dermoptera, Cynocephalidae.